Myotis davidii is the source of this 626-nucleotide long non-coding RNA. RefSeq lists it as uncharacterized. The transcript is spliced from 3 exons. The record is from RefSeq and is a predicted model, not a curated record. NCBI's taxonomy places the organism in Eukaryota, Metazoa, Chordata, Mammalia, Chiroptera, Vespertilionidae.
CGGCCCUUUCACCCCUUCCAGGCGGCGGGAAUCCUCCCCAGCCCACCUCCUUCACGCCGAUCCCUGCUUUUGGAGAGUGGGGUGGAUCCCUAAAGUGACCCCCCGCCGAGCGGAACCAGCUGGACCGGCUGUUGAGACUUGGUGACAGUGGAUGAUGGCUGUACUGCACGACCCACAAGCCAUGUAAUGGGAGGGAUACUUUGAAGAUAAACGGAAAGACGAAGAUUACAGGUUGAACCGGCUGGUGUGCCCCAGCCUGUAGAUCUUCAUGGACAGACUGGACGAAGUCCGUGACCUGUUGCCCUUCCUCCGCGGUGAUGCGGGCAUUUCUCCGUUAUGGCAAAGAUGUCAGAACCCGUCAUCCGGGAAGGCAGAGCCUCCCGGGCAUUGUUGGCACCCUGCCCUGAAGAGCCCCCGGUGCCGUAGGCAGAGCCUUGUAGCCUGUUGUGGUUAAUGACUGGGGCCAUCUGACCAGAAGUCCCUCCUCUGUGCCUUGUCUGAGGUCCUCGUCCACCCCUGAUCCCCGGCACCUUCUCUCUCUGGGUUGGGUCAUCUUAAUCGGGGAAACUGAAGCCAUUACUGUCCAAGCCCUGCUUUAUCUUCCCCACCAUGUCGGAGAGCUGGCA